GGGUUGUGAGGUUAAGCGACUAAGCGUACACGGUGGAUGCCCUGGCAGUCAGAGGCGAUGAAGGACGUGCUAAUCUGCGAAAAGCGUCGGUAAGGUGAUAUGAACCGUUAUAGCCGGCGAUGUCCGAAUGGGGAAACCCAGUGCAAUUCGUUGCACUAUCGUUUGAUGAAUACAUAGUCAAACGAGGCGAACCGGGGGAACUGAAACAUCUAAGUACCCCGAGGAAAAGAAAUCAACCGAGAUUCCCCCAGUAGCGGCGAGCGAACGGGGAGCAGCCCGGAGUCUGAAUCAGCUUGUGUGUUAGUGGAAGCGUCUGGAAAGUCGCAGGGUACAGGGUGAUACUCCCGUACACUAAAGCACACAGGUUGUGAACUCGAAGAGUAGGGCGGGACACGUGGUAUCCUGUCUGAAUAUGGGGGGACCAUCCUCCAAGGCUAAAUACUCCUGACUGACCGAUAGUGAACCAGUACCGUGAGGGAAAGGCGAAAAGAACCCCGGCGAGGGGAGUGAAAAAGAACCUGAAACCGUGUACGUACAAGCAGUAGGAGCCUCUUUAUGGGGUGACUGCGUACCUUUUUGUAUAAUGGGUCAGCGACUUAUAUUCUGUAGCAAGGUUAACCGUAUAGGGGGAGCCGCAGGGAAACCGAGUCUUAACUGGGCGUUAAGUUGCAGGGUAUAGACCCGAAACCCGGUGAUUCAGCCAUGGGCAGGUUGAAGGUUGGGUAACACUAACUGGAGGACCGAACCGACUAAUGUUGAAAAAUUAGCGGAUGACUUGUGGCUGGGGGUGAAAGGCCAAUCAAACCGGGAGAUAGCUGGUUCUCCCCGAAAGCUAUUUAGGUAGCGCCUCGUGAACUCAUCUUCGGGGGUAGAGCACUGUUUCGGCUAGGGGUCAUCCCGACUUACCAACCCGAUGCAAACUACGAAUACCGAAGAAUGUUAUCACGGGAGACACACGGCGGGUGCUAACGUCCGUCGUGAAGAGGGAAACAACCCAGACCGCCAGCUAAGGUCCCAAAGUCAUGGUUAAGUGGGAAACGAUGUGGGAAGGCCCAGACAGCCAGGAUGUUGGCUUAGAAGCAGCCAUCAUUUAAAGAAAGCGUAAUAGCUCACUGGUCGAGUCGGCCUGCGCGGAAGAUGUAACGGGGCUAAACCAUGCACCGAAGCUGCGGCAGCGACACUAUGUGUUGUUGGGUAGGGGAGCGUUCUGUAAGCCGUUGAAGGUGGCCUGUGAGGGUUGCUGGAGGUAUCAGAAGUGCGAAUGCUGACAUAAGUAACGAUAAUGCGGGUGAAAAACCCGCACGCCGGAAGACCAAGGGUUCCUGUCCAACGUUAAUCGGGGCAGGGUGAGUCGACCCCUAAGGCGAGGCCGAAAGGCGUAGUCGAUGGGAAACAGGUUAAUAUUCCUGUACUCGGUGUUACUGCGAAGGGGGGACGGAGAAGGCUAUGUUGGCCGGGCGACGGUUGUCCCGGUUUAAGCAUGUAGGCGGAUGUUCGGGUAAAUCCGGAACGUUACUAACGCUGAGGUGUGAUGACGAGGCACUACGGUGCUGAAGUGACAAAUGCCCUGCUUCGGGAAAAGCCUCUAAGCAUCAGGUAACAUCAAAUCGUACCCCAAACCGACACAGGUGGUCAGGUAGAGAAUACCAAGGCGCUUGAGAGAACUCGGGUGAAGGAACUAGGCAAAAUGGUGCCGUAACUUCGGGAGAAGGCACGCUGAUAUGUAGGUGAAGUGGUUUACCCAUGGAGCUGAAAUCAGUCGAAGAUACCAGCUGGCUGCAACUGUUUAUUAAAAACACAGCACUGUGCAAACACGAAAGUGGACGUAUACGGUGUGACGCCUGCCCGGUGCCGGAAGGUUAAUUGAUGGGGUUAUCCGUAAGGAGAAGCUCUUGAUCGAAGCCCCGGUAAACGGCGGCCGUAACUAUAACGGUCCUAAGGUAGCGAAAUUCCUUGUCGGGUAAGUUCCGACCUGCACGAAUGGCGUAAUGAUGGCCAGGCUGUCUCCACCCGAGACUCAGUGAAAUUGAACUCGCUGUGAAGAUGCAGUGUACCCGCGGCAAGACGGAAAGACCCCGUGAACCUUUACUAUAGCUUGACACUGAACACUGGUCCUUGAUGUGUAGGAUAGGUGGGAGGCUUUGAAGUGUGGACGCCAGUCUGCAUGGAGCCAUCCUUGAAAUACCACCCUUUAAUGGCUGGUGUUCUAACGUGGGCCCCUAAUCGGGGUUGCGGACAGUGUCUGGUGGGUAGUUUGACUGGGGCGGUCUCCUCCUAAAGAGUAACGGAGGAGCACGAAGGUCAGCUAAUCCUGGUCGGACAUCAGGAGGUUAGUGCAAUGGCAUAAGCUGGCUUGACUGCGAGCGUGACGGCGCGAGCAGGUGCGAAAGCAGGUCAUAGUGAUCCGGUGGUUCUGAAUGGAAGGGCCAUCGCUCAACGGAUAAAAGGUACUCCGGGGAUAACAGGCUGAUACCGCCCAAGAGUUCAUAUCGACGGCGGUGUUUGGCACCUCGAUGUCGGCUCAUCACAUCCUGGGGCUGAAGUAGGUCCCAAGGGUAUGGCUGUUCGCCAUUUAAAGUGGUACGCGAGCUGGGUUUAGAACGUCGUGAGACAGUUCGGUCCCUAUCUGCCGUGGGCGCUGGAGAAUUGAGGGGGCUGCUCCUAGUACGAGAGGACCGGAGUGGACGCAUCACUGGUGUUCGGGUUGUCAUGCCAAUGGCAUUGCCCGGUAGCUAAAUGCGGAAGAGAUAAGUGCUGAAAGCAUCUAAGCACGAAACUUGCCCCGAGAUGAGUUCUCCCUGACUCCUUGAGAGUCCUGAAGGAACGUUGAAGACGACGACGUUGAUAGGCCGGGUGUGUAAGCGCAGCGAUGCGUUGAGCUAACCGGUACUAAUGAACCGUGAGGCUUAACCUUACAACGCCGAAG
Molecule: ribosomal RNA, 2926 nt
Filed under: Klebsiella grimontii
Lineage: Bacteria; Pseudomonadati; Pseudomonadota; Gammaproteobacteria; Enterobacterales; Enterobacteriaceae
Description: 23S ribosomal RNA
Rfam family: Bacterial large subunit ribosomal RNA
Source: RNAcentral